GUAGUAAUUCUAGAGCUAAUACAUGCUAGUAAACCUGUACUUUUCGGAAAGGUUGUAUUUAUUAGAUAUCAAACCAAUAAUCUUUCGGGAUUAUUGUGAUGAUUCAUAAUAACUGAUCGGAUCAAGGUGUACCUUGAUAGAUCAUUCAAGUUUCUGCCCUAUCAGCUUUCGAUGGUAGUGUAUUGGACUACCAUGGCAGUCACGGGUAACGGAGAAUUAGGGUUCGAUUCCGGAGAGGGAGCCUGAGAAACGGCUACCACAUCUACGGAAGGCAGCAGGCGCGUAAAUUACCCAAUCCUGAUUCAGGGAGGUAGUGACAAGAAAUAACAACUCGGGGCCUCACGGCUUACGAGAUUGCAAUGAGAACAAUUUAAAUCUCUUAGCGAGGAACAAUUGGAGGGC
Molecule: ribosomal RNA, 402 nt
Filed under: uncultured eukaryote
Lineage: Eukaryota
Description: SSU rRNA
Rfam family: Eukaryotic small subunit ribosomal RNA
Source: RNAcentral